GCGGAGGAAAAGAAACUAACUAGGAUUCCCUUAGUAACGGCGAGUGAACCGGGAUGAGCUCAAAUUUAAAAUCUGGCGUCUUUCAGGCGUCCGAGUUGUAAUCUAUAGAGGCGUUUUCCGCGCCGGACCGCGUCCAAGUCUCUUGGAAUAGAGUAUCAAAGAGGGUGACAAUCCCGUACUUGACGCGACAACCGGUGCUCUGUGAUACGUUCUCAAUGAGUCGAGUUGUUUGGGAAUGCAGCUCUAAAUGGGUGGUAAAUUCCAUCUAAGGCUAAAUAUUGGCGAGAGACCGAUAGCGAACAAGUACCGUGAGGGAAAGAUGAAAAGCACUUUGGAAAGAGAGUUAAACAGCACGUGAAAUUGUUAAAAGGGAAACGAUUGAAGUCAGUCGUGUGAAAGGUAUUCAGCCGUCUCUGGCGGUGUAUUUGCCUUUCACGGGUCAACAUCAGUUUGAUCCGGUAGAAAAAGGCAAGAGGAAGGUGGCACCCUCGGGUGUGUUAUAGCCUCUUGUCAUAUGUGCCGGACCAGACUGAGGAACGCAGCUUGCCGCAAGGCCGGGGUUCGCCCACGUACAAGCUUAGGA
Molecule: ribosomal RNA, 583 nt
Filed under: Vishniacozyma victoriae
Lineage: Eukaryota; Fungi; Basidiomycota; Tremellomycetes; Tremellales; Bulleribasidiaceae
Description: partial large subunit ribosomal RNA
Rfam family: Eukaryotic large subunit ribosomal RNA
Source: RNAcentral